Molecule: microRNA, 22 nt
Filed under: Heliconius melpomene (postman butterfly)
Lineage: Eukaryota; Metazoa; Arthropoda; Insecta; Lepidoptera; Nymphalidae
Description: Hme-Mir-96-P3_3p* (star (passenger))
Source: RNAcentral
CGUGGUCUCUUAGUGGCAUCAC